GAGGAUGAAGGUGAUGAAUUU
RNAcentral lists this microRNA (21 nucleotides) under Prunus persica (peach). RNAcentral's name for it is "microRNA miRNA_97". The record is from RNAcentral. Lineage: Eukaryota; Viridiplantae; Streptophyta; Magnoliopsida; Rosales; Rosaceae.